AGUGGAGAUAUUGAUGGACACAGAAGCAGUUUUGGCUGAUUAAAGUCUCUCAGCAAACACAUACCUGGGGCAGCAGAUCUUAUCUGACAGACUAAUCAAGCUGUCUGAGCAUCCUCAGCAGGGAGGUAAGUGGGCUGAGAGACACUGAGCUCUAUGGGCACGGGUGGCUCCAUGUUCAUCAAAC
RNAcentral lists this long non-coding RNA (184 nucleotides) under Anas platyrhynchos platyrhynchos (common mallard). RNAcentral describes it as "lncRNA (ENSAPLG00000024643.1)". Lineage: Eukaryota; Metazoa; Chordata; Aves; Anseriformes; Anatidae. The record is from RNAcentral.